Molecule: non-coding RNA, 30 nt
Filed under: Homo sapiens (human)
Lineage: Eukaryota; Metazoa; Chordata; Mammalia; Primates; Hominidae
Source: RNAcentral
UAAGUGAGCCAUAAGGCCUUCUUCAAGGUC